UGUGGCCUCUAUGUUUUCCAUCUUGUCUGAAGGCCUCAUAGUUGAGUGGCUGUGCUGGAGGAAGGCUUGGUGCCAAACCAACUGGCAGAGGCUGCUGGACCUUGGAAAACCAAGAGCUGCUCUCCAUUCCCUCCAUCCUGUAGGGAAUGCUUCUGAAGGCUGCCAGGCUGCCCCCAAAAGGAGCAGUAUGCCCCGGUGUUGUCAUAGCUCCAGUUCACUGGGAUGUCAUCUUGGCUCUUGCAACAAGCAAAAGUGAUUUGCAAUUUCCAAAACACUUGGGCAGAUUUCCUUCAUCCUGGUGGGGGUGCACCAAGGAGGUCCCUGCGAAGAGCUGGUGGCUGUGGUGCAUCUCAAGGCAUGGGUGGUGCAGCUGAUCUCUUUAGAAGUGUAUGUACUUUAAUUCUAAAUCACCCCGAUUCCUUGUGCAGUGUGAUAGUUGUUUUCAGAAACUUGCUUUAUCUACUGCAGAAAACUUGCUAUUAAUUUUAUAGAGGCAGAGGAUUUAAUAAAUUAAAGGAGAUGAGAAUGAAGAGGCAAGCCCAACCUUUAGCCAAAGCAUGAAGGAAUCAUGAGAAUGCUGAACAUACUUUUUUCCCCUUUGUAAUGAAUGUACAAUAUUUUUCUUCAUUACUAGCUGUUGUCUUUGCAAGUGAAAAUAUAGGCUUGUGACCCAAGGCCACAGAAAUGUGGGAAUACUAGUACAUAAAACCAUUUGUACUGAAAUGGUCCCUAAGAUAAAUAAUGUUCUUAGCAGCAGUAGGAGAGUGAUGGUUUGUUAUCAGUCCUUGUGGUUUAGCCUGUACAGUACACUGACUGUGGGCUAAGGGCUUGCUGGGCGCUCCCUGCCAUCCCAGUGUGGCAGGAAUAGAUCAAAAGAGUUGCUGUUUCACAUUUAAGUCCAUGGGUCACGAAAGAGGGGCUGAAAAUCAGCACAUUCAUACCGCUGCCAAUCUCUGCAACUCAGUCAGCUUGAGGAUGGUUUGGGCAUCAAAGGAGCACUGCUGUGUCCCAGCACUUCUGUCUCCCUGAUCCGGGGGAGUUGAUACACUUUAAAGUGUGUGUAUGUACAGUUUCAAGAGUUCUAUAGUGUCCUUGCUCAUAACCCACCGGUGGAAAACUUGGUAGAGGCCAAACUGAUGUUCUAGGGCAAAAACUGAGUGACCUGGGGCUUUGCUUGCAGACAGUCUUGCAUGGCUAUUUGGAGCUGAUGAAACAACCAGCUCAACAGUUUUACACAUCUGAAUGCUGUAAAACUAACAUUUAACGAAGCGUAACAUGGAUAACAGUAAAUUCUGUGCAGCGGCUUGCUUGUAUUGAUUACAAGGUUCAAAGAUUUUUAGUGUGGACCUGUUAAGCAUCUGCAGUGCUGAGGCUGGAAUGAGGCUUGGCAAAUGAUAACAAGGUUGCUAAGAUGAUGUUCUUUCUGCUUUUAUGUCAUCUGCUGCUUUGGAGAGUCAGUCAAGAGGCCUGGGAAUGGGUUGGUGGUGCGGGAGAUGCUCCCAGCUCUGUUUUAUCUGAGUGCAAGCCCACGGUGUGGCUGCAUCAUGCUUUAGAGUCAUAGAACUGCUCAGGUUGGAAAAGACUUUGAAGAUCAUCAAGUCCAACCAACUGCCCAUGGCAGUGUACAGGGCCACACAAGAUGGGCCUACCUGCAAAUAGAGCAGGCAAGGGUAUAGUUUGGCAUGCUGAAAGCUGGCUCCUGGCUUCAGCCUGAUCCCUUGGUGAGAGCUGAAUAAUUCGUGCCUGCUCAGGGAUGCCGGCAGCUGUUUCUCUGCCAUGUGAUGUACGCUAUGCAUCCUCUCCUGCCCAGCAAUGGAGUAGAAAUGGGAAGAUGUAUGCUCAGGCAGAUGAUGUUGCGGAAAGAAAAUCAAUACAGAUCAAGUGAAGAGUUUUAAUCUUGCCUCGUGAUAACUCUGUGUCUGUCCUUCCCCUGUAUAUGCGUUAUGUCAGCAAACACUGCUUGCUUGCAAGUCAAAAUCCCAUGCAAUAGGAGAGGUAUAAAUAUGAGUACAUGCAUCAUGCUGUUUAACCCCCACAGCCCCUGCUCCUCUCAUUGGCCUGAUGGCAGCUGUGCCCCAAACUGUAUGCAGAGGGCUUUCAUUUCAUAAAACAGCAGCUACUUCUCCUGCAUAUGUUCUGACAAUAGCAAUUAAGAACAUUGCAGCGCACCAGGGAACUGCUAAAUAUAGUGUGGCCUGAAGUUAUAAUUAGAUUUCCUGAUUUGUUUUUUCCUUAUUAUUUUUUUCUUUUUGGUGGUUGGGAUUUGCUCUUUCUCCACCUCUGUAUGGUGUGGGAGAUCUUAAAGGUCAGGUGAGCCCUGGAGUCCUCUGUACAAGGCUGUGCUUUGGGAAACUCUUCUCCUUCAGGAAACACAGGAAGAGGCAGAGCUUUAAUUCUUGGAUGUCUCGAUUCAUAGAAUCAUGAAUGGUCUGGGUUGAAAAGGCCCACAAUGAUCAUCCAGUUCCAACCCCCUGCUG
Coturnix japonica (Japanese quail) is the source of this 2477-nucleotide non-coding RNA. The record is from RefSeq and is a predicted model, not a curated record. NCBI's taxonomy places the organism in Eukaryota, Metazoa, Chordata, Aves, Galliformes, Phasianidae.